This is a non-coding RNA of Trichonephila clavipes, 75 nucleotides long. NCBI's taxonomy places the organism in Eukaryota, Metazoa, Arthropoda, Arachnida, Araneae, Nephilidae. The record is from the annotation of a GenBank genome assembly.
GGCGCCGUUGCUCAGUUGGUUAAAGAGAUUGUCUUGUAAAUAGAAAUUUCGCGAGUUCGAAUCUCGUCGGUGCCU